GCAGUACAGAGGUAAUACGUUCACCUCGAAAGGACUUCUUAUUGAUAUAGGAUACUGAUAGCUGGUCUCAAAUUACUACGCUUCCAAUGCAAGUAAUUGCAACUUGCCCUCUUCUAUUCACCAAUACGGCUACGCAAACCAUCCCAUUGGCAUCGCCUUGCCAUCUGGUCAAAACGGAGGGAUAAAAAGCCCCUUAUUCAACCUACCUUUGGGAUCAUAUUUUGUUUUGAUAUGCCGGAGUCGUUCGUAGUUGGGCCCGAAGAUCUAUGGCACAGACAACAUCAGCUUUGCCUCUUGGGACCGACUCCUAGUUGACCUCGAUGCCGUGAAAGAGGAAGACGUAGAGGAGCGAGCGAGGAAAAAUGCGAUUGCCCUACUCACCUGGUUCAAAUCUUCAGACCCGUUGAUAAAGGCCGGCCAAUAUUCGCCGGGCUUAUGUGAAGGGCAUAUCUGCGUGGGGGCUUUUUCUAGCAGGCCCAAAGCUAGCUCCUGGGAACAGUCUGCUCCCGGAGGAUGUCCGACAACCAAUUGAAGAACAUGUUGUGGCUUUGUAUGAGGCCAAGCUGUCAUGUUGGGCCCUCCAGAAGAUGUUAAGGCACCCUGCGGAAAGGAGUCAAUAACGGGCCUGAGCGGUAAUGUUUGAAAUGCCACUCACUUUGCCCAAGACUUCCAGAACAACCAAGGUACCAGACCCCAAAGCCUUGUUCGCCUCCACUGCCUGCUCGUAGAAUUUUGCUAUUCUUACAACAAAGUCGGGAUCAAUUGAACUAGUGUCGACAAGUGGUGAAGACAACAUGAUGGUAUUACCCGCUAGCGAUCGAAGCGAGGCUGAGAAGAAACGAGUGCGUCAGGAACAAUGCAAUACCACCGACUUAAGUUUUGUGUCUAUACGUACCUCCCUCCUCAUUCACCUCGCGGAUAUUCAUCACCUUGGUCAUGUCCACUGCGCCUUCAAUGUCGAAGGCCCAUUUGAAACCCAAUUCGCUUCUCCCAUGCUCCUCUCCAUGGGAAUCAAAUAUUAUGAUUGCAAUACCGGGCUGCGGGACAUCGUCCGUGUCCGUAGGCGGAUCGAAGUUCAUAACAAUGACGUGUGCCCCAAGUUUUGGAUCGGUGCAUCGUUUCAUGAAAUCGGACAGUCCUUGAGACACAGCUUUCAUUGCAGUCUUGGGGAACGCAAUCGUUCCCGCAUGAAUCUUUUGUGGGCAACGGUGCACCUUGACUUUGAAGGCAGAAACAACUGAUCCCCAGAACCCAGUCAAACGCUGAAAUCACUUGGGGCUACUAGAGGAUGAAAGUUACGGCCAACGUACCUCCAAAGUUCCCACCUCCACCACGAAGUGCCCAGAGAAGAUCUGGCUCCGUCGAGGCCCAGAGCAUUCUACCAUCAGGUAGCACGACAUGGGCGUCAAGAAGGUUAUGAGGGUCUGAGCAAAGGCCAUGCUCUCCGGAAAACCACGACAUCCCUCCAAGGAGAAGUGAACCUGCAACCCCAACGAAGGGCACCCUAGUGCUCAAAACUGCAUAACAAAAAAAGAAAAGAGAAGGUAAAAAUUAAUAAACGGCCGUAAAACUCGAGAAUACACACGUCAUCGGGACAAACCUGUAUACCCCGGAGCCGCCUCCUCCACCUUCCUAUCAACCUCUCCCCACGUCUGGCCAGCACCGAUAGUUACCGUCUCGCUAUCCUGAUCGAAUUCAAAGCUGUCGAAAGCACUCAUACUCAGCUGAACAUGCUUCGCACCGGAUGUAUUAUUACCACCGGAUCGGACCGAGAAAUCUAGGUCUGAGGCACAGAGGUACUGAACAGUUUUCUGGAGAGCAGGGAGCGACUUUGGCCGUAGAACCAGUUGCGGUUUAGGAUUCUUGUAUGCGGUCCAGAAAUCCGUUGCUGAGGCAUACCGGUCGGAGGUAGGUUCGAUGAUUUCUUCAUCGGUCAGAAAGCUCCGAAUAGUUGUUCUUCCUUCAGAGGGGAGCGCCAUUGUGUUGUCUGUUAUACCGGAUCGAACAAAAAGAGCUUCCUUUGCUGUUCUUCCUGGUGGUGUGUAGGAGGUAUACAACUAAGCGUUGGGUCAAGAAGAUUGCAUCUGACAUGCGCUACCCGCCCUUUCUUUUAUGUAAAGUAGUUUUCCAAGUUCCUAUUAAUAAGUUGGGGCAUCCACUGGACAUACAACAUCCCUGUUACUGUCUGUCGGGGUAAUCUUGACCUGGAGUUGAAGCUUGCGGAGCUAGUGAGAGCGGCCAAUAAUGACAACAGACAGUCACCAGCGUCCUGUUUUAGGAACGGGGAA
This 2288-nucleotide small RNA is filed under the name Histoplasma capsulatum var. duboisii H88. RNAcentral's name for it is "Histoplasma capsulatum H88 hypothetical RNA". The record is from RNAcentral. Lineage: Eukaryota; Fungi; Ascomycota; Eurotiomycetes; Onygenales; Ajellomycetaceae.